GACGAACGCUGGCGGCGUGCCUAAUACAUGCAAGUCGAACGCUGAAGGAGGAGCUUGCUUCUCUGGAUGAGUUGCGAACGGGUGAGUAACGCGUAGGUAACCUGCCUGGUAGCGGGGGAUAACUAUUGGAAACGAUAGCUAAUACCGCAUAAGAGUAGAUGUUGCAUGACAUUUGCUUAAAAGGUGCAAUUGCAUCACUACCAGAUGGACCUGCGUUGUAUUAGCUAGUUGGUGGGGUAACGGCUCACCAAGGCGACGAUACAUAGCCGACCUGAGAGGGUGAUCGGCCACACUGGGACUGAGACACGGCCCAGACUCCUACGGGAGGCAGCAGUAGGGAAUCUUCGGCAAUGGACGGAAGUCUGACCGAGCAACGCCGCGGGAGUGAAGAAGGGUUUCGGAUCGUAAAGCUCUGUUGUAAGAGAAGAACGAGUGUGAGAGUGGAAAGUUCACACUGUGACGGUAGCUGACCAGAAAGGGACGGCUAACUACGUG
This 495-nucleotide ribosomal RNA is filed under the name uncultured bacterium. Its description in RNAcentral is "partial 16S ribosomal RNA". It matches the Rfam family "Bacterial small subunit ribosomal RNA", at positions 28 to 507 of the family's 1533-position model. The record is from RNAcentral.